This 620-nucleotide ribosomal RNA is filed under the name Coolia monotis. Its description in RNAcentral is "LSU rRNA". It matches the Rfam family "Eukaryotic large subunit ribosomal RNA", at positions 88 to 655 of the family's 3401-position model. Lineage: Eukaryota; Dinophyceae; Peridiniales; Ostreopsidaceae. The record is from RNAcentral.
GGCGAUGACAAAGACAUAGUCAUUUUGAAAAUUGUGGUCCGUGAUCAUGAAUUGUAAUAUUCAAAAUGCAUUGCUAACAAAAUUGCAUAUGUUAGUUUAUUGGAAAGAACAUUACAAAGGGUGAAAAUCCCAUGUGUCAUGUGUAUGUUUUGUGUACAGUGUGCAUUUCAUGAUUCACAUUCAUUGACAAUUGAAUGUAAAGCGAAUGGUAAACUUCAUUUAAACAUAAAUAUGUUGUUGAAAACUUAUAUCGAACAAAUACCAUGAGGGAAAUGUGAAAAGGAUUUUGAAAAGAAAAUUAAAAGAGCUUACAAUUGCUGGAUUGAUAAGCAAACAAAACACACAUGUGUAUGUGCAAGAUUGUUGUCAUGUUGUGCAAUUCAUGCAAAUUAACAUUGCUUUGGUUUUUGUGUAAUUUUGUCAGCUUUGGAAUUGAGAAUGAUUUUUUUGAGUGUGAAUGGAUUGUUGUUUGUUAACAAAGGAAUGCACUUUCAAAAUCAUUGUUUGAUUUGUCAAUCAAGUUUGUGGCGUGUGUUGUGUGUCAAAUUUAAUUAUAUAAUUCACAAAACACAUGAAGUUUGAGCUAUUAAGGCAAUUCUUGGUUUUGUUUGACCCGUUUG